GAUGAACGCUAGCUACAGGCUUAACACAUGCAAGUCGAGGGGCAGCGCAGUGUAGCAAUACAUGGGCGGCAACCGGCGCACGGGUGCGUAACGCGUAUCCAACCUUCCCGUUACUCAGGGAUAGCCUUCCGAAAGGGAGAUUAAUACCUGAUGGUGUUCAAAUUCCGCAUGUUAUUUGAACUAAAGAUUCAUCGGUAACGGAUGGGGAUGCGUGACAUUAGAUAGUAGGCGGGGUAACGGCCCACCUAGUCUACGAUGUCUAGGGGUUCUGAGAGGAAGGUCCCCCCACACUGGAACUGAGACACGGUCCAGACUCCUACGGGAGGCAGCAGUGAGGAAUAUUGGUCAAUGGUCGGAAGACUGAACCAGCCAAGUAGCGUGAAGGAUGAAGGUUCUAUGGAUUGUAAACUUCUUUUAUACGGGAAUAAAACCUCCACGUGUGGGAGCUUGCAUGUACCGUAUGAAUAAGCAUCGGCUAACUCCGUGCCAGCAGCCGCGGU
This 500-nucleotide ribosomal RNA is filed under the name uncultured bacterium. Its description in RNAcentral is "bacterial SSU rRNA". It matches the Rfam family "Bacterial small subunit ribosomal RNA", at positions 28 to 521 of the family's 1533-position model. The record is from RNAcentral.